AACGAACGCUGGCGGCAUGCCUAACACAUGCAAGUCGAACGAGACCUUCGGGCCUAGUGGCGCACGGGUGCGUAACGGGUGGGAACCUGCCUUUAGGUUCGGAAUAACUCCCCGAAAGGGGUGCUAAUACCGGAUAAUGUCUUCGGACCAAAGAUUUAUCGACUUUGGAUGGGCUUGCGUUGGCUUAGCUAGUUGGUAGGGUAAAAGCCUACCACGGCGACGAUCCAUAGCUGGUUUGAGAGGAUGGUCAGCCACACUGGGACUGAGACACGGCCCAGACUCCUACGGGAGGCAGCAGUGGGGAAUAUUGGAAAGUGGGCGAUAGGCUGAACCAGCUAUGCCGCGUGAGUGAUGAAGGCCUUAGGGUUGUAAAGCUCUUUUACCCGGGAUGAUAAUGACAGUACCGGGAGAAUAAGCACCGGCUAACUCCGUG
This 433-nucleotide ribosomal RNA is filed under the name uncultured bacterium. Its description in RNAcentral is "partial 16S ribosomal RNA". It matches the Rfam family "Bacterial small subunit ribosomal RNA", at positions 29 to 507 of the family's 1533-position model. The record is from RNAcentral.